UUAAAGACUUUGAAGGAACAUAAGUAAAUUAUAUUAAAUGUUAUAGAAAGCUUAUGGUUGAUGGAAAUAAGCCAUUGAUAUAAUAGAAAUUGGGGUUCUGGAGUUACAAAAGGCACAAGUCUUUUGUCGCUAAUCGCGUUAAAAUCAAGAGCGUAUAUUUUAUACGAAUUAAGGUGGUACCGCGUUUAUAACGUCCUUUUU
RNAcentral lists this non-coding RNA (201 nucleotides) under Coprobacillus sp. RNAcentral describes it as "T-box sequence". It matches the Rfam family "T-box leader". Rfam says of the family: Uncharged tRNA acts as the effector for transcription antitermination of genes in the T-box leader family. T-boxes are found upstream of many aminoacyl-tRNA synthetase genes and some amino acid biosynthetic genes usually in Gram-positive bacteria. The record is from RNAcentral. Lineage: Bacteria; Bacillati; Bacillota; Erysipelotrichia; Erysipelotrichales; Coprobacillaceae.